CGGCCAUAGCAGUGGGGACACUCCCGUACCCAUCCCGAACACGGAGGAUAAGCCCACUCGCGUUCCGCGGAGUACUGGGGUGUGCGAACCCCUGGGAAACGUGGUUCGCCGCCUGCC
This 117-nucleotide ribosomal RNA is filed under the name Halobacteriales archaeon QS_4_62_28. The record is from RNAcentral. Lineage: Archaea; Methanobacteriati; Methanobacteriota; Halobacteria; Halobacteriales.